AGCCCCGAGGUGAUUUUCAUGUUGAAUUGCAAGUUCAAAGGAGCAGUCUAA
RNAcentral lists this transfer RNA (51 nucleotides) under Macaca fascicularis (crab-eating macaque). RNAcentral describes it as "partial tRNA-Cys". The record is from RNAcentral. Lineage: Eukaryota; Metazoa; Chordata; Mammalia; Primates; Cercopithecidae.